UUAAGCUUUCGGGCCCAUACCCCGAACAUGUUGGUUAAACCCCCUCCUUUACUA
RNAcentral lists this transfer RNA (54 nucleotides) under Uperoleia minima (small toadlet). RNAcentral's name for it is "partial tRNA-Met". RNAcentral also lists the same sequence under 1 other name. The record is from RNAcentral. Lineage: Eukaryota; Metazoa; Chordata; Amphibia; Anura; Myobatrachidae.